This is a long non-coding RNA of Carassius gibelio (silver crucian carp), 1391 nucleotides long. RefSeq lists it as uncharacterized. NCBI's taxonomy places the organism in Eukaryota, Metazoa, Chordata, Actinopteri, Cypriniformes, Cyprinidae. The transcript has 3 exons. The record is from RefSeq and is a predicted model, not a curated record.
UGAACAUGUCCUACAAAUUGUGAUCAUUUUCUAUUGAAAAUGUGUGUUUUUGAGGCUUUUUCAACUGUUAUAGCGCCACCUAUGAUCCGAUCUCCAUGAAACUUUGCAUGCUUGUUAAGAGUCACCUGAUACAUGAUUCCACGAAGUUUCAUAAAGUUUUGAGUUUUCGUUUAGGUUUUAUAGGCUUUGGGGUAUGUUUGGCCACACCCCUUUUACUAAAUUACCCCUUUACAGCUAACCAAAGGACAAAAUUCAACAUUUUUUUGAUAAUUAUUGAUCUAGAGAGUCCACAGAAUAUUACUGCAGUGGUUUGGUUCCGAUCGGACAAAAAACCUAGGACUAGUUCGUAAAAGUAGGUUUUUAACAUAUUUGUGAAUAACAUUUGAACGAUUUGAUUGACAGCAAUGGUUCUUGAGGCAAAGUUGUGCAUUAUGAGGAGAUCUAUCAAAUGAUAUGCAUAUUGUGUUGAUAAGUGAAACACCACGUGAUUACAGAGCCAAUAAACUCGUUAGCGCCAACUAGUGGCCGAUUUCUUUCAAAAUUCUUACAGACCUUAAGGUUCAUGAGUCGAACGCACCCAGCGAGUUUCGUUCCGAUCAACAUCCGUUAACCCUUUCAAAUAGGUGCUUAAAAUUGUUUGGCCAAUGGCGGCCAUGUUUUUUGAGAUAUGCAAAUGUCCUCAUAGGUACUUGUGCCCCUUCAGACCAAGACACUGCAUACCAAUUUUCAAGUCGAUCGAGCCAACGGUUGCCUGGUUAUAGCCAUUUAUGUGUUUUUUAAAUCUUAUUGCGCCCCCAAGUGGCAGAGAUAUGCAAUUUUUUUUAUUUGACCAAAGAUUGAGCUCAUACAUAUGUGUACCAAUUUUGGUGAAGAUAUCUCAUUCCGUUCAAGAGUUAUAGUCAAAAUAGUAUUUGGCUAACGUUAGCAUAGACGCUUUUUGGUGUACUGUUUCGCGUAAGAAUUGAAAUUUCAACUUUUUUUUGAUAAUUAUUGAUAUUGAGUGUCCAGGGAAUAUUUAUGAAGUGGUUUGGUUCUGAUUGGUUGAAAAUCCUAGGACUAGUUCGCAAAAGUAGGUUUCGGAUAUAGCUCGAUUUUGCGAGAAAACGGUGCGUCGUAGACCCCAAAAAGGCGCCGUGCACUUUUGUUCGGGCUAACCCAAGGAUUGCAACAAUGCCAUGUUUUUGAGUCUACGGCUAACGGUUUACGAUUUACGGCCAAAAAUGUCAAAAAUUUUAGUUUUUUGCGCUGUAGCGCCCCCGUUAGGCCGAUUGGAUCGAGACUCGGUAUCUGACAAGAAGGCCGGACUACUACAUUCUGACCAAAUUUCAGCUUUCUAGGCCUUACGGUUUGGGCUGCACGAACAGUUUGAGUGGAGAAUAAUAAUAAUAAUA